UACGUAGGGGGCAAGCGUUGUCCGGAAUCAUUGGGCGUAAAGAGCGUGUAGGCGGCUUGGUAAGUCCGCUGUGAAAGUCCAGGGCUCAACCCUGGAAAGCCGGUGGAAACUGUCAAGCUUGAGUCCGGAAGAGGCGAGUGGAAUUCCUGGUGUAGCGGUGAAAUGCGCAGAUAUCAGGAGGAACACCGGUGGUGUAGACGGCUCUCUGGACCGUAACUGACGCUGAGACACGAAAGCGUGGGUAGCAAACAGG
RNAcentral lists this ribosomal RNA (253 nucleotides) under uncultured bacterium. RNAcentral describes it as "partial 16S ribosomal RNA". It matches the Rfam family "Bacterial small subunit ribosomal RNA", at positions 524 to 776 of the family's 1533-position model. The record is from RNAcentral.